AGGUAGCUGACGGGUCCCAAACAGGACGAAAUGCGCAUCCUGGAU
This 45-nucleotide non-coding RNA is filed under the name Trichobilharzia regenti. Lineage: Eukaryota; Metazoa; Platyhelminthes; Trematoda; Strigeidida; Schistosomatidae. The record is from RNAcentral.